Molecule: long non-coding RNA, 500 nt
Organism: Capsella rubella
Lineage: Eukaryota; Viridiplantae; Streptophyta; Magnoliopsida; Brassicales; Brassicaceae
Exons: 3
Source: RefSeq, a predicted model, not a curated record
GAAAGACUUAGCAGAAAAACAAAUGGUUAGCAUAUAAUUUCUUUGUUAUUCAAUAUGAUUCUUAUUAUCCACGUCUGAAUGAAUAUGUGAUAUUAUUUCCUUUAUUUUCUACACAUGCCUUCUGCAAUUAUGUCAUAUUAAGUUGCAGUUUUUUUAUGGCGAAGUAGAGGAUGAUCUUAUGGAUGUCGAUAACAAUGGGAUUAUCAUAUAAUACACCGCAUACUCCCUUUUGCAAUUAUGUGAUUCUUUAUUUUCUAUAGACGUCUUCUGCAAUUAUGUUAUACUAAGUGGUAUGUGCAAGUAGCUGAUGAUGAUGAAGGUGACAAAGAGAAAGACUUAUCCGGGAAACAAAUGGGAGGUGAUGGUGAUGUAGGUGGCGAGGAGAGAGAAACUUAGUAGGAAAGCAAUUGGUUGGCAACGAGAGUUAUUCUACAUGGCUGGUACGUGCUUAUGCCGGUAAUUGUAUGCAAAAACGAUGGUUAGUCGAUAAUAAGAUUGUU